AGGUAUUUAGUUUAAGAAAAACAUUUGAUUUCGGCUCAAAAGAUUGUGGUUAAAGUCCCCAUCUACCUGU
Molecule: transfer RNA, 70 nt
Filed under: Coryphaena equiselis
Lineage: Eukaryota; Metazoa; Chordata; Actinopteri; Carangiformes; Coryphaenidae
Description: tRNA-Arg
Rfam family: tRNA
About the family: Transfer RNA (tRNA) molecules are approximately 80 nucleotides in length. Their secondary structure includes four short double-helical elements and three loops (D, anti-codon, and T loops).
Source: RNAcentral